CGAGGCGCGCACCACGCGGCCCCUUCCUCCAGGCAUUCGCACCACCCCCCACUCCCGUUGCAUGCUGGGAUUGUAGUUGAUCGCCUGCGAUCAACGGCCGGAAGCGGCUAAAACUACUCCUGCCUGCAUACCCCGCAGGAGCAAACCGCGCCAUGUCUCCCUCCAGGGAUCCGCACCGCUCACAAUCCUGUUUAGUGCUGGGAUUGUAGUCCUGCGAGCCUACGACUAAUAGCUGGAUUAACUCUUAAGUACUCCACAACUACACGCUUUUGAAACUGGCGUUGGCAUAGCGUUAGUUCUGUGCAGGGCGGACGCAGCAGGACAGAAUCUCCCUGGGCAUCUUUUCGGAGCAUCAAUUUUACUGCAAAAUUUUGAAAAAACAAAUUUAAUUGAUUUCCAAGGUUUGUCAAGGAGGACAGAAACUCAGAGCACCCUGCACUUGGGGAUCGGCACUAGGAGCUGCUCUCUGGAUGGGGAGAUGGGAGCUAGCAGCUCACAAUGGGGUCACAAGAAUAUUGGUUCUUCUUUUAUCUGAAGUGAGGAGCACCAGAGGACUGAUCACGGCAUAGACAUUGACUACAAGACUCUGAACUUGCUGGUUGAUUGGGCCAUAUGCCCACAACAUUGCUGAGGAGAAGGAGAUGAUGAAAUCCACCCAACAGAGGACCACAGAGAAACUUACCAGCAGCAGUAUGGUCUGGAUGGCCCGUUUCUCAGGGGAAGCUCCUGGGGAAGGACCAUUGCUGUGAAGGUGGUGGGAUCACCUCUGAGGCCUGAAUAAGAGAGUCACCAUGUAUGCAAUUAAGAACAGCAGUAUUCCUACCAGGAAAGCAUCCCUAAGUGUUGUCAGAAUAAGAAACGUGGCCCUGAGGAUGAAGCUCAUGGAGAAAACUGAGCAGUACUUACCUAUAUUCAGUACAUUUGUCUGGCUCACACUGGAAGCAGCUACAGUGUAGAAGAUCCUGUUACUACUGAAAGACAAGUUGAGGAACCAUAAGAAGAAGAAAACAUGGAUAAUGUAAUUUGAAGAUUUAUGUUUAAACCUUGCCAAUCAGGAGGUGCUGGGGCUGAUGGUGGUGGCCUGGAACACACUCAGGGGGCAGGUGGUGCAGAUAGAGAGGCCCCACAACACCCUGCUCAGGUGGAAAAGUGCCUUACACUUGAAGUCAUUCUGAAGUUCAAUGAUGCAAACAGAUUUGGAGACUGCAAUAACAGUGCAAUGAAGAAGUUCACUAUGUGGACGAGGGGCAAGGGACAGAUGAUCAAGUCAGUGGGUUUUAGUCUGUGAUACAGAAGGAGAGUGAAGAUGCUGAAGAGGAACAGAAAAGUAUUGACUGAGAUUCCAACAGCAACUUGUAAAACAAAGCAGCUUUUUAAUAACAUACAUGAUAUAUAUGUACAUUGUAGUGGCAAAGAGGAAACAUAUUUGUAUAUCUGAAAAAACAAGUUUAGACAUCUUCAGUGCUGUUCUAUAGUUAAAAUUAUCACAACUAUGAUUAUGUUUAUUUCUCCCAAUUAUUAAGACUUACAAUGUAAUAUAAAUUAUUAGAAAA
This 1553-nucleotide long non-coding RNA is filed under the name Homo sapiens (human). RNAcentral describes it as "uncharacterized LOC101929050, transcript variant 4 (LOC101929050)". The record is from RNAcentral. Lineage: Eukaryota; Metazoa; Chordata; Mammalia; Primates; Hominidae.